This 492-nucleotide ribosomal RNA is filed under the name uncultured bacterium. Its description in RNAcentral is "partial 16S ribosomal RNA". It matches the Rfam family "Bacterial small subunit ribosomal RNA", at positions 29 to 507 of the family's 1533-position model. The record is from RNAcentral.
AGUGAACGCUGGCGGCGUGCCUAAUACAUGCCAGUCGAACGAACGCACAAUAAGCGUUUUCCUCUACGGUUGGCGAGUGACGGAUGGGUGAGACAUAGAUAAGCUUCCUCUAUUUCGUGGGGGACUUCGUGAGGACACUUAUGCUAACACCGCAUAUGAUCAACGGGUGAAAUCAAUAGUGAUUGAGAGUUUUGCUGAUUCUUUGAGCCGGUGUCGGAUUAGCUAGUUGGCGAGGUAAGGGCCCACCAAGGCGACGAUCCGUAGCUGGUCUGAGCGGAUGAUCAGCCACACUGGAACUGAGACACGGUCCAGACUCCUACGGGAGGCAGCAGUAGGGAAUAUUCCGCAAUGGGCGCAAGCCUGACGGAGCAAUGCCGCGUGAGUGAUGAAGGUCUUCGGAUCGUAAAACCCUGUUAUUAGGGAAGAACAACAGUGUAAUUAUCUCCGCCCGUUCUGACGGUACCUAAAGAGAAAGCCCCGGCUAACUACGUG